This 2252-nucleotide long non-coding RNA is filed under the name Mustela putorius furo (domestic ferret). Its description in RNAcentral is "lncRNA (ENSMPUG00000025148.1)". The record is from RNAcentral. Lineage: Eukaryota; Metazoa; Chordata; Mammalia; Carnivora; Mustelidae.
AUAUUUUCCUGCUUUGAUCCUCUCUCUAGCUGCCUUUUGAAGGAGUUCAGUCACCCCCCCCCCCCGCCCCCCAUCCAAUGACUCCUCUGUGUUAGCUCUUCCUUAACCGAAUCAAACCAAACCUCCGCGAGUGCAGACCAGCUCCGCUCCCUGCCUGCAACACAGGCUUAUAUUUUUGGAUCCAGGAUGUCCUGUGGAUUGGACGGCUGCCAGGCCUUCAGAUGCUUGGCGUCUGGGAUGGCGUGCGAUGACGUCGGGCUGACUUCUAGGGACCCUGCGCCUCUGCUGUUGUUUACCAGCUUCAAGUUCCAUCUGGUCUUGCUGACAGGAACCUUGACACCAUCUGCAAAAAUUGGAAUAAAACAAUUUUGGUCUGAAGGAAAGGAAAAUUGCAAGUUGAAGCUUAUUUGGGAAAUGCCAUCUUCACUGCUUUGGAAGGAAAAAUGGAAGGGGCUGUUUGUUAAUAUACGUUCAUGUAUUUGGUGAACUUCUUACAUGGACACGUCUAGAGGUGUGACCUUUGGGUGUACUGGCUCUUUUUCUCUUCGAUCUGGUAAACAGAGACUGCAGGAAAUCUGCAGGAUUCCGGGAUGGGCUUUGAUGAUGAAUCGACAUGCGGUUAGUGUUUAUACCUAUCAAGGCCACCUCUUAACACCGUAGUUGGGGUCAAUGUGCUUUGCUGGUGAUCAUGGCAUGUAAGAAUUAUAGUCAUGUGCUUCUCUUAUUAUUACCCAAAGGGUUCACUUGUGUAUGACAUAAACCUCCACAGAUUCCUGUCAUCUCACCCAGGACAAGGGGGUCAUAAUAACAUCCCAGUAAGAGCUGAAAUUGACACAGGGCUCAGUGCCCAGUGUUGCUCUGAACACUUUACAAAUAUGAACUUCAUUCUCACAGCCACCCUAAAGGGUGCUGUUUGCUGCGUUUGUAAGCACUGUGUUCCAGCCCCCCUACUGACGACAUUGCCUAAGUUAUCCUAUUUAAUCCUCAGAAUGAUCCUAGGAAGUAGGACCUUUAUUAUUCUCAUGUUGUGUGUGGGACACGGAAGUUCAGAGAGAGGAAACUAGCAGUUCAAGGCUGUGUGGCUCGUCAAUCUUGUGUGUGUUUGGGGUUUAUACCCGGGCAGCUGAUGCUGGAGUCCACACUCUUGAGCAAUAUACUUAGACCUCCUGCAUCUGAUUUUGUUCUUGAAGCAACUUGGGAAGUAGGCCAGACAGGUAUAAUUUUCUUCCCUUUAUUACAAUCCAGUAAAAUGAAGCCCAGCGAGUGGAAAUGACUUUUCUGUGACCACAGAACUCAUUCGUGUGCAUUUAUAAAUAGCAGAACUGGCGAUUAUUGGGAAGCCUUGCUGCGGAAAUCAAGCGACCUUUGAGGCUGUUUUGGUUUGUGCAAAGAGCAGUGGGCUUGGAGUUAAGAGAUGUGGGUUUAAAUCCCGAGGCUUCUACCUACUUGACCUUGAGAAUUCAGCUUCUGAGGCUUUGUGUCUGCACUCAGAAAAUGGGAGAAGUAAUUCCUCCUUCACGCGGUGUGUGAGGAUGAUAAUAAAGUAAUUACAUCCAAGUGUUCACCCCAGUAGUUGUUUAAUAUAUGUUCUUAAAAUUGCCCACAUAAGUCAUCAAAGGGUAGAGCCAUGGAUUGAGGGAUGGACAUGGAGACAAAGGACGUUUGGCUCCUCAUACCCUCACGGGCAUGUGGAAAUGAGUCCUACACGUGGGGAGGAACUUCCAGAGAAGUCUGCAGUGGGUGGGCAGGACUUUCUCCACCUCUGAACACGGACAGAAUGCCUGCUCUAGGUUAUUGAAGAAUUUGGACUUUAUAUAGGUGUGGCAGCUUUGCUUUUGUGAUAUGUUUUAUGGUAAAAACUGACUACAGUGCUCCUAUGUAGCAAGGAACACCUCGAGACAAAGUUUUUUUCUGAUAGUCCAUUAAGUACAGUUAUGUCAAGGCAAUGAUUUUACAAAUAGAAUCAUUGUCUCGGUUACAGUGAUGCCUUGAUCAGAGUGGUUUUAGGGUCUUAUCUCAAGUGAAUUUGAAAUGUUGGGCUUUUCUUAAUCAUCCCAGCAGGAAGUAAUUUCCCACCCGAACAAUGGAUGAUGAAUGAUGCCUGAACUUAUCAUCCAUGCCAUUUCUUGGAAUGUAGCAUUUCUGGUUUGAAAAUGAUUAUUUGUGUAUUUUUUCUCUUCAGAUUGAGAGCCCACAUAUUCUUAAAAACACGACAUCUCUUACUACUGUACUUGAAUAUAUGAUAAAUGAAU